Molecule: ribosomal RNA, 253 nt
Filed under: uncultured bacterium
Lineage: Bacteria
Description: partial 16S ribosomal RNA
Rfam family: Bacterial small subunit ribosomal RNA
Source: RNAcentral
UACGUAGGUGGCAAGCGUUGUCCGGAAUUAUUGGGCGUAAAGCGCGCGCAGGUGGUCUUUUAAGUCUGAUGUGAAAGCCCCCGGCUCAACCGGGGAGGGUCAUUGGAAACUGGAAGACUUGAGUGCGAGAGAGAAGAGUGGAAUUCCAUGUGUAGCGGUGAAAUGCGUAGAGAUGUGGAGGAAUACCGGUGGCGAAGGCGGCCCCCUGGACAAAGACUGACGCUCAGGUGCGAAAGCGUGGGGAGCAAACAGG